CCUACGGGAGGCAGCAGUAGGGAAUAUUGCUCAAUGGGGGAAACCCUGAAGCAGCAACGCAGCGUGGAGGAUGAAGGUUUUCGGAUUGUAAACUCCUUUUUUUAGAGAAGUUAAUGACGGUAUCUAACGAAUAAGCACCGUCUAACUCCGUGCCAGCAGCCGCGGUUAUACGGAGGGUGCAAGCGUUACUCGGAGUCACUGGGCGUAAAGAGCGCGUAGGCGGGAUAGCAAGUCAGAUGUGAAAUCCUAUGGCUUAACCAUAGAACUGCAUUUGAAACUGUUAUUCUAGAGUAUGGGAGAGGUAGGUGGAAUUCGUGGUGUAGCGGUAAAAUCCGUAGAGAUCAAGAGGAAUACUCAUUGCGAAGGCGACCUGCUAGAACAUAACUGACGCUGAUGCGCGAAAGCGUGGGGAGCAAACAGGAUUAGAUACCCGUGUAGUC
Molecule: ribosomal RNA, 440 nt
Filed under: uncultured bacterium
Lineage: Bacteria
Description: partial 16S ribosomal RNA
Rfam family: Bacterial small subunit ribosomal RNA
Source: RNAcentral